RNAcentral lists this ribosomal RNA (2456 nucleotides) under human gut metagenome. RNAcentral's name for it is "bacterial LSU rRNA". It matches the Rfam family "Bacterial large subunit ribosomal RNA", at positions 3 to 2482 of the family's 2925-position model. The record is from RNAcentral.
UUAAGUAAGGAAGGGCGUACGGCGAAUGCCUUGCCACUCGAAACUGAAGAAGGACGCGCCAAACUGCGAAAAGCUCCGUGAAGCUGUAAGGAAGCGAAGAAGCGGAGGUGUCCGAAUGGGGGAACCCGGCAGCAGACAUGAGCUGUCAUCUGCAGGUGAAUACAUGGCCUGCAAGAGAGGUACCCGGCGAACUGAAACAUCUAAGUAGCCGGAGGAAAAGAAAACAACAGUGAUUCCCUGAGUAGCGGCGAGCGAAAGGGGAGAAGCCCAAACCGGUUGAAGGACCGGGGUUGAAGGACCAUGACAUGGCAAGAACGAGGAUAGGAGAACGGGAUCGAAAGCCCGGCCGAAGAAGGUGAAAGCCCUGUAACCGAAAUCCGAGUAAAGCCUAAUGGGAUCCUGAGUACGGCGAGACACGAGAAAUCUUGUCGGAAGCAGGCGGGACCAUCCGCCAAGGCUAAAUAUAAACGAGUGAGCGAUAGUGAACCAGUACCGUGAGGGAAAGGUGAAAAGAACCGCGGGAGCGGAGUGAAAGAGAACCUGAAACCGUAUGCCUACAAGAAGUCAGAGCCCGUUAAGGGGUGAUGGCGUGCCUUUUGUAGAAUGAACCGGCGAGUUGCGACAGACUGCGAGGUUAAGGAGGAAAGACCGGAGCCGAAGCGAAAGCGAGUCUUAAGAGGGCGAAAGUAGGAUGUUGCAGACCCGAAACCGGGUGAUCUAGCCAUGAGCAGGUUGAAGUUGAGGUGAAACUCAAUGGAGGACCGAACCGACUACCGUUGAAAAGUUAGCGGAUGACUUGUGGCUAGGGGAGAAAUUCCAAUCGAACCCGGAGAUAGCUGGUUCUCCCCGAAAUAGCUUUAGGGCUAGCGUCGGAAAGAACCUUAGUGAAGGUAGAGCACUGAAUGUGUGAUGGCCCCAUCCCGGGGUACUGAAUACAAUCAAACUGCGAAUGUCAUUAAGGAUGUCCGGCAGUCAGACUGUGAGUGAUAAGGUCCAUGGUCAAGAGGGAAACAGCCCAGACCGCCAGUUAAGGUCCCAAAAUACAGGCUAAGUGGAAAAGGAUGUGGGGAUGCCCAGACAACUAGGAGGUUGGCUCAGAAGCAGCCAUCCUUUAAAGAGUGCGUAACAGCUCACUAGUCGAGUGACCCUGCGCCGAAAAUGUACCGGGGCUAAGCCUGAUACCGAAACUGCGGAUUGUAGGAAACUAUAGUGGUAGGGGAGCGUUGUAUACGAGCAGAAGCCGUACCGUGAGGAGCGGUGGAUUGUAUAGAAGUGAGAAUGCCGGUGUGAGUAGCGAGAUGUAGGUGAGAAUCCUACACACCGAAAGCCCAAGGAUUCCAGGGGAAGGUUCGUCCGCCCUGGGUAAGUCGGGACCUAACGCGAGGCCGAAAGGCGUAGUGGAUGGAAAGCAGGCGAAAGAUUCCUGCACCCGUAUAUGGAGCGAAGGAGUGACGGAGACGGAUAGUGUGACCCUCUUAAUGGAUUGAGGGCGAAGCGAAGCGGCUGGUUACCAGGCAAAUCCGGUAACCAUAAGGCUAGAGCGUGACAGGUAAGCGAAAUCUUAGGAAAGUAGCGAAGCACAUGAUGACGGCUUCCAGGAAAAGCUUCUGGCAAUGCAUAUGCGGCCCGUACCAAAACCGACACAGGUGGGCAGGGAGAGAAUCCCGAGGUGAGCGAGAGAACUGUUGCCAAGGAACUCGGCAAAAUGACUCCGUAAGUUAGCGAGAAGGAGUGCUUAAGCAAUUAAGCCGCAGUGAAGAGGCCCAAGCGACUGUUUAACUAAAACACAGCUCUCUGCGAAGUCGCAAGACGAAGUAUAGGGGGUGACACCUGCCCGGUGCUGGAAGGUUAAGAGGAUCUGUUAAGAGCGAUCUGAAGCAGUGAUCCGAAGCCCCAGUGAACGGCGGCCGUAACUAUAACGGUCCUAAGUAAGCGAAAUUCCUUGUCGGGUAAGUUCCGACCCGCACGAAAGGCGUAACGAUUUGGGCGCUGUCUCGGCAGCAGACUCGGUGAAAUCUUAGUACCUGUGAAAAUGCAGGUUACCCGCAACUAGACGGAAAGACCCCAUGGAGCUUUACUGCAGCCUGAUAUUGAAUUCUGGUCAUACAUGUACAGGAUAGGUGGGAGACAAAGAGACGUGCACGCCAGUGUACGAGGAGUCGACGUUGGGAUACCACUCUUGUGUGACCGGGGUUCUAACCUGGUAUCGAGAACAGGUACGGGGAGAGUGUCAGGUGGGCAGUUUGACUGGGGCGGUCGCCUCCCAAAGAGUAACGGAGGCGCCCAAAGGUACGCUCAGAUUGGAUGGAAACCAAUCGUCGAGUGCAAUUGCAGAAGCGUGCUUGACUGUGAGACAGACAAGUCGAACAGGGACGAAAGUCGGGAAUAGUGAUCCGGCGGUGCCGAAUGGAAGGGCCGUCGCUCAACGGAUAAAAGCUACCCUGGGGAUAACAGGC